GUCUUCUUGUUAUAUUUAGGAAGUCUGGCCUGCCCAGUGAAAUUAAUUUAACGGCCGCGGUAUAUUGACCGUGCAAAGGUAGCAUAAUCAUUAGUCUUUUAAUAGAGGGCUGGUAUGAAGGGUUUAACGAGGUGUUGACUGUCUCAUUUGAUUUGAAUAUUAGAAUUUAAUUUUUUAGUUAAAAAGCUAAAAUACUAUUGGAAGACGAGAAGACCCUAUAGAGCUUUAUACUUUUAUUAUUAAUUUAUUAUGGAUUAUUAUUAUUUAUUAUUAAUAAAAAGUAUUUUGUUGGGGUGACAAAAAUAUAUAAUCAACUUUUUUAUUUUAUUUACAUUGAUAUAUGAAUAUUAGAUCCAAUCUUAUUGAUUGUUAGAUUAAGUUACCUUAGGGAUAACAGCGUAAUCCCUCUCCAGAGUUCAUAUUUACAGAGGGGCUUGCGACCUCGAUGUUGGAUUAAGAUAAUAAUUAGGUGCAGCCGCUUAAUUAAUAGGUCUGUUCGACCUUUAAAUUCUU
RNAcentral lists this ribosomal RNA (513 nucleotides) under Planaeschna risi. RNAcentral's name for it is "partial 16S rRNA". It matches the Rfam family "Archaeal large subunit ribosomal RNA", at positions 1911 to 2666 of the family's 2987-position model. Lineage: Eukaryota; Metazoa; Arthropoda; Insecta; Odonata; Aeshnidae. The record is from RNAcentral.